AGCGAACGCUGGCGGCAGGCCUAACACAUGCAAGUCGAACGGACCCUUCGGGGUUAGUGGCGGACGGGUGAGUAACACGUGGGAACGUGCCCUUUGGUUCGGAACAACUCAGGGAAACUUGAGCUAAUACCGAAUGUGCCCUUCGGGGGAAAGAUUUAUCGCCAUUGGAGCGGCCCGCGUCUGAUUAGCUAGUUGGUAGG
Molecule: ribosomal RNA, 200 nt
Filed under: uncultured bacterium
Lineage: Bacteria
Description: partial 16S ribosomal RNA
Rfam family: Bacterial small subunit ribosomal RNA
Source: RNAcentral